This 65-nucleotide transfer RNA is filed under the name Mycolicibacterium cosmeticum. RNAcentral's name for it is "tRNA-Phe". It matches the Rfam family "tRNA", at positions 9 to 71 of the family's 71-position model. Rfam says of the family: Transfer RNA (tRNA) molecules are approximately 80 nucleotides in length. Their secondary structure includes four short double-helical elements and three loops (D, anti-codon, and T loops). The record is from RNAcentral. RNAcentral also lists the same sequence under 1 other name. Lineage: Bacteria; Bacillati; Actinomycetota; Actinomycetes; Mycobacteriales; Mycobacteriaceae.
AGGUCAGUGCCUAUCCCGUCCGCCUGAAAAGCGGAAGGUCGCCGGUUCGAUCCCGGCCCUGGCCA